GACGUAGGGCGCGAGCGUUGUCCGGAUUUAUUGGGCGUAAAGGGUGCGUAGGCGGCGGAGUAAGUUGGGUGUGAAAUCCCGGGGCUCAACCUCGGAAUUGCAUUCAAUACUGCUUCGCUCGAGUACUGGAGAGGAGACUGGAAUUUACGGUGUAGCAGUGAAAUGCGUAGAUAUCGUAAGGAAGGCCGGUGGCGAAAGCGAGUCUCUGGACAGUUACUGACGCUGAUGCACGAAGGCCAGGGGAGCAAACAGG
This 253-nucleotide ribosomal RNA is filed under the name uncultured bacterium. RNAcentral's name for it is "partial 16S ribosomal RNA". It matches the Rfam family "Bacterial small subunit ribosomal RNA", at positions 524 to 776 of the family's 1533-position model. The record is from RNAcentral.